Molecule: long non-coding RNA, 212 nt
Filed under: Elaeis guineensis (African oil palm)
Lineage: Eukaryota; Viridiplantae; Streptophyta; Magnoliopsida; Arecales; Arecaceae
Description: long non-coding RNA (EGUI_LNC018308)
Source: RNAcentral
AAGGGGCGUCAUAUUGCUUUUGCGCACAAGGAGAGACUCCAUGCGUCAAGAGAAAAAUUCUCUUGCACGUGGAACUUAGAAAAUCAGUGCCCAACCCUUGGCUUAACAAGCCAAGGGUCAACCCAAUUUAAACUCAAAAGAAGAUUGAAUUUAAUUGGAUCUAAUUAGUCCAAAUUAGGAAUCAAAUCGAAUCUGAUUCAAAUAUGGGAGCU